RNAcentral lists this transfer RNA (77 nucleotides) under Streptococcus gordonii. It matches the Rfam family "tRNA", at positions 9 to 68 of the family's 71-position model. Rfam says of the family: Transfer RNA (tRNA) molecules are approximately 80 nucleotides in length. Their secondary structure includes four short double-helical elements and three loops (D, anti-codon, and T loops). Lineage: Bacteria; Bacillati; Bacillota; Bacilli; Lactobacillales; Streptococcaceae. The record is from RNAcentral. RNAcentral also lists the same sequence under 2 other names.
ACUCAAGAGGCUGAAGAGGACGGUUUGCUAAAUCGUUAGGUCGGGUAACUGGCGCGGGGGUUCGAAUCCCCCAUUCU